GACGAACGCUGGCGGCGUGCUUAACACAUGCAAGUCGAACGGAAAGGCCCUGCUUUUGUGGUGUGCUCGAGUGGCGAACGGGUGUGUAACACGUGAGUAACCUGCCCUUGACUUUGGGAUAACUUCAGGAAACUGGGGCUAAUACCCGAUAGGAUCUCCUGCUGCUUGGUGGUGGUUGGUAAGUUUCGGCGGUUGGGGAUGUACUCGCGGGUUAUCAGCUUGUUGGUGGGGUAGUGGCUUACCAAGGCUUUGACGGGUAGCCGGCCUGAGAGGGUGACCGGAGAGAAUGGGAGGGAGAGACGGCGCAGAAGGGAACGGGAGGGAGGAGUGGGGAAAAUAGCAAAAUGGGCGGAAGCGGGAUGCAGAAACGCAGCGAGCGGGAAGAGGGCCGUAGGGUUGUAAACAGAAAGAGAAUGUGAGGAAGCGGGAGUGACGGUAAUGGGUAAAGAAGCACCGGCUAACUACGUG
This 468-nucleotide ribosomal RNA is filed under the name uncultured bacterium. Its description in RNAcentral is "partial 16S ribosomal RNA". It matches the Rfam family "Bacterial small subunit ribosomal RNA", at positions 28 to 507 of the family's 1533-position model. The record is from RNAcentral.